Mycena vitilis is the source of this 89-nucleotide non-coding RNA. The record is from the annotation of a GenBank genome assembly. Lineage: Eukaryota; Fungi; Basidiomycota; Agaricomycetes; Agaricales; Mycenaceae.
GACACUAUGGCCGAGUGGUUAAGGCGACAGAUUUGAACUUCCACUAUCUGUUGGUAUUUACCGCGCAGGUUCAAACCCUGCUGGUGUCG